UACGGAGGAUCCAAGCGUUAUCCGGAAUCAUUGGGUUUAAAGGGUCCGUAGGCGGACAAUUAAGUCAGUGGUGAAAGUCUUCCGCUUAACGGGAGAACUGCCAUUGAUACUGUUGUUCUUGAGUGUUUAUGAAGUGGUUAGAAUAUGUAGUGUAGCGGUGAAAUGCAUAGAUAUUACAUAGAAUACCGAUUGCGAAGGCAGAUCACUAAUAAUGUACUGACGCUGAUGGACGAAAGCGUAGGUAGCGAACAGG
This 253-nucleotide unclassified non-coding RNA is filed under the name uncultured Flavobacteriaceae bacterium. RNAcentral's name for it is "contains 16S-23S intergenic spacer region". It matches the Rfam family "Bacterial small subunit ribosomal RNA", at positions 524 to 776 of the family's 1533-position model. Lineage: Bacteria; Pseudomonadati; Bacteroidota; Flavobacteriia; Flavobacteriales; Flavobacteriaceae. The record is from RNAcentral.